ACCUGUGUGUAUAUUAGACACCCCGGCCUCCUCACAACCUGUGUGUGUAUUAACACCCCGGCCUCCUCACUACCUGUGUGUGUAUUAGACACCCCGGCCCCCUCGCUACCUGUGUGUGUAUUAACGCCCCGGCCUUCUCACUACCUAUCAACUAUGGCCUGAGUAUGAUAGACUUAUCCAUGGUUUAAACAGAAUAUAUUGUUUUCAACUUUGAAAAUAAGAAUAUGGAAAUCCAGAUGCAGAAAUGUGAGAAGAAAAGAGAGUAAACAGAGUGGAAGGUCAGGUGACCUUGCCUGUCAUGAAUAUGAAGGUCAAGGUGUGUGAAUUGUGAAAUUUCCAAGAGAACCUCACUGAAGCAAAGAAUGGAGAAAGAAUCGCAUUUGGCCCUGGGAGCGUGCAGGGGUGAAUGGUGCAGGAGCUAAAUCUUUAUCAUACCCAGAAAUCAACAGCCACUAUUUGAAAUCAUCUAAAUUCGUGCUGCUAACCUUCAGUGUACACACAAAUCACCUGGGGAUCUUAUUAAAAGCUAGUUUCUGAUUCACUAAAUCUGUGUGAGGUGGAAGUUGAGGGCAGAGAAGCUCCCAAGGGUGUCAAGCUGACCCUGAACCCGACUUUGAGGGUUAAGGUCCCAAAUGGCAUCGCCAGCACCAGGGACAGACACUAAAAUUGUAGAAAUCAUCUCAAGAAAUGAACAGCCUCUAAGUCAGAUGUUGAAUGUGAAAGAAAUCAGGGUGUGUACGUGUGUGUGUGUUUGUGUGUGCACGUGUGUGCCUGUGUUUGUGCAUGUAUGUUUCUAUGUGUGCACAUGUGUGUAUGUGUCU
This 821-nucleotide long non-coding RNA is filed under the name Pan troglodytes (chimpanzee). Its description in RNAcentral is "lincRNA". The record is from RNAcentral. Lineage: Eukaryota; Metazoa; Chordata; Mammalia; Primates; Hominidae.